Molecule: ribosomal RNA, 558 nt
Filed under: Staphylococcus aureus
Lineage: Bacteria; Bacillati; Bacillota; Bacilli; Caryophanales; Staphylococcaceae
Description: partial 23S ribosomal RNA
Rfam family: Bacterial large subunit ribosomal RNA
Source: RNAcentral
AUAAGGUCCGUGUUCGAAAGGGAAACAGCCCAGACCACCAGCUAAGGUCCCAAAAUAUAUGUUAAGUGGAAAAGGAUGUGGCGUUGCCCAGACAACUAGGAUGUUGGCUUAGAAGCAGCCAUCAUUUAAAGAGUGCGUAAUAGCUCACUAGUCGAGUGACACUGCGCCGAAAAUGUACCGGGGCUAAACAUAUUACCGAAGCUGUGGAUUGUCCUUUGGACAAUGGUAGGAGAGCGUUCUAAGGGCGUUGAAGCAUGAUCGUAAGGACAUGUGGAGCGCUUAGAAGUGAGAAUGCCGGUGUGAGUAGCGAAAGACGGGUGAGAAUCCCGUCCACCGAUUGACUAAGGUUUCCAGAGGAAGGCUCGUCCGCUCUGGGUUAGUCGGGUCCUAAGCUGAGGCCGACAGGCGUAGGCGAUGGAUAACAGGUUGAUAUUCCUGUACCACCUAUAAUCGUUUUAAUCGAUGGGGGGACGCAGUAGGAUAGGCGAAGCGUGCGAUUGGAUUGCACGUCUAAGCAGUAAGGCUGAGUAUUAGGCAAAUCCGGUACUCGUUAAGGCU